This 431-nucleotide ribosomal RNA is filed under the name uncultured bacterium. RNAcentral's name for it is "partial 16S ribosomal RNA". It matches the Rfam family "Bacterial small subunit ribosomal RNA", at positions 29 to 507 of the family's 1533-position model. The record is from RNAcentral.
AACGAACGCUGGCGGCAGGCUUAACACAUGCAAGUCGAGCGCCUCGCAAGAGGAGCGGCAGACGGGUGAGUAACGCGUGGGAACGUACCCUUAUCUUCGGAAUAGCUCUGGGAAACUGGAAGUAAUACCGAAUGUGCCCUUAGGGGGAAAGAUUUAUCGGAUAAGGAUCGGCCCGCGUUGGAUUAGCUAGUUGGUGGGGUAAAGGCCUACCAAGGCGACGAUCCAUAGCUGGUCUGAGAGGAUGAUCAGCCACAUUGGGACUGAGACACGGCCCAAACUCCUACGGGAGGCAGCAGUGGGGAAUAUUGGACAAUGGGCGCAAGCCUGAUCCAGCCAUGCCGCGUGAGUGAUGAAGGCCUUAGGGUUGUAAAGCUCUUUCACCGGAGAAGAUAAUGACGGUAGCCGGAGAAGAAGCCCCGGCUAACUUCGUG